Molecule: long non-coding RNA, 600 nt
Filed under: Nicotiana benthamiana
Lineage: Eukaryota; Viridiplantae; Streptophyta; Magnoliopsida; Solanales; Solanaceae
Description: long non-coding RNA (NBEN_LNC031069)
Source: RNAcentral
GUCACGUUAGUACUAGGCCGAGAAAAGGAACCAUCAAUGAAACAAAUUUUAUUCUUAGCAGAUAAAGCCAUAAUCAUCUUACGUUUCCAACCACCAUAACCACUACUCGAGAAGGGAGUGGGAACAAGGGACGCACCAGGCACAUCAGAAGAAUUUACAAACAAAGGGUUGGAAGGGUCUAUAGAACCAGAGUUACCACCAGAACCACUACCAUUGGUGUUAGAAGCCAUGUUCAAAUGAAUUAAAUCGUUCACAAAUAUCACCAAAAAUCAGUAUUCACAACCCAAACAAAUUAUUCACAAAUAGAAUCAAACAAUCGCACACAACCAAAGAAUCACAACCAAAGAAUAGGAACAAUGUUACCGUCCUUCUUCGCAACCGGAGAAGAUCGGCCUUUAACAACAGAUAAAACCCUAGGUAUGAACCCUAGGAGCAACCGUCAAAAUAUCGGCCUUUAACAACAGAUAAAACCCUAGGUAUGAACCCCAGGAGCAACCGUAAAAAUUUUGCCGGAGAUACCGUCAACGAUGUCGGAGCAAUAACGAUAACACCCAAAACAUCCGCAAAAAUGAGUAUCAAACCACCGGAUAGCAGUCAAAC